AGCAGCAGCAACAGCAGUAGUUGCAGCAGCAGCAACAGCAGUAGUAGCAGCAGCAACAGCAGUAGCAGCAGCAGCAACAGCAGUAGUAGCAGCAGCAGCAACAGCAGUAGUUGCAGCAGCAGCAACAGCAGUAGUUGCAGCAGCAGCAACAGCAGUAGUUGCAGCAGCAGCAACAGCAGUAGUUGCAGCAGCAGCAACAGCAGUAGUUGCAGCAGCAGCAGUAGUAACAACAACAGCAGCAGUAGUAACAGCAGUAGCAGCAGUAGUAACAACAACAGCAGCAGUAGUAACAACAACAGCAGCAGCAGUAGUAACAACAGCAGCAGCAGCAGUAGUAACAACAGCAGCAGCAGCAGUAGUAACAACAACAGCAGCAGCAGUAGUAACAACAACAGCAGCAGCAGCAGCAGUAGUAACAACAGCAGCAGCAGCAGCAGUAGUAACAGCAACAGCAGCAGCAGUAGCAGCAGCAGCAGCAGUAACAACAACAGCAGCAGUAGUAACAACAACAGCAGCAGUAGUAACAGCAGUAGUAGCAGUAGUAACAACAGCAGUAGCAGCAGUAGUAACAACAACAGCAGCAGCAGUAGUAACAACACAGCAGCAGCAGUAGUAACAACAACAGCAGCAGCAGUAGUAACAACAACAGCAGCAGCAGUACAGUCAGCAGCAGCAGCAGCAGCAGUAGUAACAACAACAGCAGCAGCAGUAGUAACAACAACAGCAGCAGCAACAGUAGUAACAACAACAGCAGCAGCAGCAGUAGUAACAACAGCAGCAGCAGCAGCAGUAGUAACAACAACAGCAGCAGCAGCAGCAGCAA
RNAcentral lists this long non-coding RNA (823 nucleotides) under Salmo salar (Atlantic salmon). Its description in RNAcentral is "lncRNA (ENSSSAG00000087679.1)". The record is from RNAcentral. Lineage: Eukaryota; Metazoa; Chordata; Actinopteri; Salmoniformes; Salmonidae.